This is a non-coding RNA of Microcebus murinus (gray mouse lemur), 2704 nucleotides long. Lineage: Eukaryota; Metazoa; Chordata; Mammalia; Primates; Cheirogaleidae. The record is from the annotation of a RefSeq genome assembly.
GCCAGUGCUGUGUUCUUUUUGUUUUUAUAUAUAUAUUUUUUACAAUUUUUCUAUCAUCAUCACAAUAAUUCUGAUCUCUUUAUAUGUGACAGGGACAAUUAUCAGGAGAAGCAGAAGGACAUUUACAGUUGUGAGUUUGCUCCACUGUCCCAUCACAGGCAGCUGAACAGACCCACAGGCCCCCAGCAAGGCUGGAGGGCAGGGCCAGGUAGGAAGAAGGGAAGACACAGAGGAGACAGGACAGAGAGAUGUACAAAGGAAGGUGAUUCAGAGAAAUAACAAAGAAGCUUCAUCAAAAGACAUGAUCGUGGCAGCAGCUGUAACAUGUAAAACUCUGGAGUGCAGGGGAGCAAAGCUGAUUCAAGACUGCUCACUCCAUAGGGCCCAGGCAGGCUGCAUCCAGGGUCAGCUUCCUGCCAUACUUGCUCUCCACCUGCUGCAGUCCUGAGCUCCCCAUGUUCCUGCCUUCUCUCCUGGAGAGGGCCUGCUGUCAGCUGCCACAGGAGGGCGCUGGAGAAGUGGCUCGAAGCAGAGAAGAAGGUGCUUCUCUGCAGGUCCGUCCAGCCAGCCAGGUAUCUUGCAACUUGGAGGGGAGAAUAAAGUCAAUCUUCAGGAAAACUGGCUCAACUGUUGAAAUCUCUUGUGAUAUUAAAGAAGGUGCCAGGUACAUCCACUGGUACUUCUUUCCAGAGCACAUGGUCCCAAGACGCCUUCUCUACUAUGACACUUCUUCCUCAAGCAAGUAUUUGGAUUCAGAAACCAAGGCAGAUAAAUACGAUGGUUCUAAAAUCACAGACAAGAGUUUUAAGUUGCAUCUGAAACAUUUGGAAGCAAGUGACUCUGGUGUGUAUUAUUGUGCCGUUUGGGACCAACAAAGUAAUAAGAAACUCUUCGAUAGUGGAACAACACUUGUUGUCACAGACCUUGAUGGAGCCGUUUCCCCCAAGCCCACUAUUUUUCUUCCUUCAAUUGCUGAAACAAAUCUCCAAAAGGCUGGGACACAUCUUUGCCUUCUUGAGAAUUUUUUCCCUGGUGAUAUCAAGGUAUAUUGGAAAGAAAAGAAUGGCAAUAAGAUCCUGGAAUCCCAGCAGGGAGAUACCAUGAAGACUGGCAUUACAUAUACGAAACUUAGCUGGCUAACUGUGCCUGAAACGUCAUUGGAUAAAGAGCACCUGUGUGUCAUCAAACACGAGAGUAACAAAGGAGGAGCUGAUCAAGAGAUUCUCUUUCCUCCAGUAAAGAAAGGAUUGUCAUAUGAAUUAUAUGAGACAACAGCACCUAGCACAACAGCACCUAGCAACCUAGGAUAUGUUGUCACCGCUGUUCCUUAUGCCAGAGAUGAAAACGAUGAACUGUGGCUGCAGCUCACGAAUACCUCCGCGUACUACACCUACCUCCUCCUGCUCCUCAAGAGUGUGAUCUAUUUUGGGAUUGUUGCCUUCUGUCUGAUUAGAAGAACAGCUGUCUGCGGCAGUGGGAAGAGAUCCUAAGAGAUCAUGGCACAAUGGGUUCAUCUCCUCUUCAUUGUUUAUUGUCCCCCAAAAUGUCUGCUGAGGAUCUAGCCGACCUUGCUUUUUGGAUUUGGGCUAUUUCAGCUUCUGUGUGCAUUAUUCUAUUAUAUCAUUAUUUUGUGGUGGGUUUUCAAACCAGUGGGCAAACAGAAAACUUCAUCCUAUAACUACGACAGUGAGUUGCCCAGGGCAGCCUUGAGCACAACUCUCUCCACCUUCUCCACCAGCGCCUCCAGCCAGCCCAGGUCAUCACAGCCUCAGUGUAGACAGCCCGCAGCUUCCAGCCUCACCCCUUAGUGCCCUACAGCCAGUUAUCUGCCAGAAAGCCUUCCUUUUACACGCCCUGAAGCAGCCUUCUUUGCUACUGGAAUGCUGUGCUUUGUUUUCUAUAAUAGGCACAAUAAAUUUAAACAAUGAGAAGUUUGCCCUUGUCUGUGUGUACUUUAAUUUGAUGCAAUUGAAUUGGUAAGAAACAGCAUAGCAAGGUAAGCAUCCAAGGUAAGAAGCAGCAUAGCAAUCGGGCUAUGAAAUUAUGUGUUGCUUGUAAUAAUGGUCCGAUACCACAGUUCUCAUUCUUUCCCUGAGAUAGUGCUUAUGAAUUCCCUUGGGGCACUGUCUCUGAGAGAAGCCACAGCCAAACUAUGUAGCCUAGUUGCUUUUCUUUUAAAGGUCACCAGAUUCAGAGUCUUUUGGUUUGGGACAUUCCGGUGACAACAGGGCCCCAUGUAAUGAGACUCGCACUGUGUGUACAGCUUUGCACCCGUGUUUCCUCGGCAUCAUGUUUCCUGAUCCUCACCUUAUCCCCGUGAGAGCUGCAUGAGCACCAGGAAGGCAGCGUGGCUGUGGGGUUAGGCACAUGCACAUGGGUCUUGGAGUGCCUGGGUUUGAGUCCUGGGUCUGGUAUUAGAUCUGUGUGAAUGCCAUGUGCCAUAAUUUCCUCAUGUAGAGUGAAGUUUUAGUGCCCUGUCUCCUGGAGUUGCCGUGUGGAUUAGACGAGUUAAUAACGCUUGGUGCACGCAAGUCCUCAGGAGCAUUGACUUUUACUGUUGGCAGCUCGGCUUCAUAAACAGUAGAUGCCACACGCACAAGCGCUGACAGUGAUCUCUAUUCUUACCUGUCUGCAGAGAGGUGAGGUGGGAUGGAAAAGGAUCAGUGAGUCUCUGCCACACACUAGGAGCCUCUCGUAUGGCCCA